GUUUUGAUUCUUUUGACACCAUCCACUCUUUUCUCUUGAUAACAUAUCUACUUGCCAAGAACACAGCCACAUAGCCAUAUUUAGCUCAAGCAAGACUGAUGUGUUAAAUGGGCUAUGUCCACACUUAAUAAAUAUCUUUUCAGAUUAUGAAACUGAUAUGCUGCCUACUGUGCUAAGGAGACACCCCGUCCUGCCUUGAUAUGAGGGGAAAUUUAAAAGCGCACAUUUAAUCUUACUUAGUUCAUUUGGAAACAUUUCAGGGAAGCAGAUCUACUGUGGAAAUAGACGUCACUACCUCCAGUGGACAGUGCAGCCUCAAAUGAACAGUGUAAUUGGCUCGGCCAGGAGGCUGCUCUGCUCUGUACUUGCCUGAGCAGGGCUAUGACUUCUCCUGCAGUCAUGGCUGCCAUCACGAACCCUCUGGGACCAGAGGAAGCCCUUGACUGAGUGAGACCAACGCCCUGGCACUUCUCACAGAUUUUGCUUGAGUUUCUUCCAUACGUGGGCACAAAUGCCUGAGCCAAGGGAUAACUUUCUGAGCCGUGACCUCUUCCGACCCUCCAGACACUGAGUGUGGAAUGAAACCCAAGCCAUGAGGUCUGAACCUCUCGAAACUGAAAGGAAAAAAAGUCGGGUUAAAAGGAAGAAAAACCUUCCACUGCGCUUUUGGAUGAAGAGGACUUGAACAUAGGAGAAUAGCCAGCAGGAAACACAGCGACAUGAUGAUGUAAUAGGAUUAGAGCCUUCAUAGCACCAAAAGGUGAACAAGUGGGGCCUUGUGAAUCCUCCACCAUCCAUUCUGGAAUGUUGACCAACUUGAUCAUGUGCAGACAACCACAGCUGCUAUGAAAAUUCGAGUACAGAGGACACUGCCUCGACUCAGGCCCAUGAAUGAGAGAGGUCUCCAUCACGCAUCACCCACCACAGUGCGUUCCCUUGCUAUGGAGGUCCAAAGGCAACAGGAGACCAUGGUCUGCAGCCUCUGAAUCUGAGGCCCGGAGUGAACCCUUCCUUCUUUUGAGUCAUUCAUCUUGAGUGUUUUGUAACUGUGACGGGAGCCUGACUAACAUGCACAUGCUAUUAUUAUAUUACAUGUUAAAUGAAUAUAAACCAGGCUGAGAUGAUCAAGUACGAGAAGUCACUUCUUGCAGAAUGCCUCCAACAGAACAGACGGAUCAAAAUAGAAGUGUGUCUCUUCCCUCAGUAAGAAGACAUCUGUUAGAGCAGCUGCUAAGUCACCAGAGAUCAGCCUUUCUCCCCUCUAGUCUGUGGUCCUCAACAAGUGGCUAAUAUGCCACUCGACCCGAUCUGGCUGCUCCAGCUCCUACCAUCAGGUCUGGAUUCCAGAGAGGAGGAAAGAGGGAGCAAAAUGGCAUUGCUCUCUCUUAGAUGUUCCCUUUUAAAAGUCGUUACUUCUAUGUUCAUCCCCUUGGCUAAGGACUUAGUUAUAUAGAAACAUUUGGCUGCGAGAGAAGCUAGGGAAUAUUUUGUCUAUUUUGGGUAGCCACAUAUCUUGCUAAAAAUUCAAGAUCGGACUUUCACAGGGGAGAACGAUGAGAAUGGAUCUAAGGGGAUCCCCAAGUGCUGAGAGCUUUCUCAGGUGGCAUCAUUAGCAUAGAGACAGAACAUGAUUUUACCCAAUUCAGAUCACCCGGUCACUUCCUCUGUGCUUGGACUAGGAGAUGGAAAGACAAGUGAUGCACAGAUCCACCCUCCAUGUUUGAGAUUCAGAGCAGAGAUGGCAAGCUGGUGACAUGAGGUGGUCAACAGGCACAGUGUGUUUGGCUGACUGACGUGUGAGCCAGCACUCAAACUGUCACUUGUUUGACAGUACUCAGAACUGUCACAGAAGGAGCCAGCUGGCUUUCAAGCUCUUCACUCAGAGGGUUCCCCUGUGUCCAAGGCUGAAAAGCAACAGGCCCUUCAUGCUGGGUGAUACCAUUUGACUAAGAAAUGUGUUCAUGCACGCUGCUGGGGAGAUAGCUGAGCUGCUCAAGUCGCUGCUAUGCAUUCAUGAGAACAUGAGUUCGGAUCCCCAGCACCCGUGUUAAAAAUACAAAAACUAAAACCAAACAAAAAACACAAACAACAACGACGACAACAACAACAACAACAACAACAACAACAACAACAGCAACAAACCAGACACAGCAGCAAGUGUUGGAAGUCCAGGAACGGGAAGCAAGAGAUUGAUGGAGCCAGGAACUUAAUGGCCUGACAGUCUAGCCACGGAGAGAGCUCCAAGGUUAGUGGGAGACCCUGCCCCACAAAAUGAGGUGGUGAGUGUGGUGCAAGGCUUUCCCUGAAGAUGGCAACCCUCUGAGAAAGCUCAGCAGGAGAACGACCAUCUACAGUCUUGUGCUUAAGUCCCCUGUGAGACUGUAUCGCUGGUGCUCUGCAGCCUGCACUCAGCAUGUUGGUAGUUGGCUGGUUGGCUCUUGGAUCCAGUGCAAAAGCGGUGUGCAAAGACAGGUUGAGAAAUGAAAGGGGGAUUUCAUGGUUUCUGCCUUGGGGGUGCUUAAGAUAAAAGGUUUAGAACGGCAAAGAAUCCUUUUGUCCAAAAGGUCUCCCCUCUUCUGCUUUGCUUGUUUACUUGGUAAGCAGACAGGAGAAGGAAAUGUUCUGGUACAAAUACAUAGCCUGAGGGAGCUGGAACUGUUUCUGCUGCCAGGAACACCCCAAACAGAGCCUUGAGUGUUUCCGCAGCCCUGGGGCCACUCAGAGCCAGCUUGGGUAAAUGUGGAGAUGGCUUUGGGUCUAGUCCUGGCCAGUGUAGAGCGGGGCGAUGGGGGAGGGGAUCAGCGGCUUCCCCUCUGAGUGAUAGUGAAAGACUGAACCAGACCCUGAAUUUUUACUUAGCAUAAAUGUUACUGCAUCACAGCAGCUACAUGAAGCCUGCCUGCAGGGGAGAGAGCUCCAGAGUGGAUUUAGCACCUAGGUCUUCAAUCUUUUGGGUCACAGGGAGUCGUGGCGUGACAGAGUCACCAGGGACUCAUUCUUUCUUUGUUCUCGUCUGAUCUUUCACCCCUUCAUUCAUAGAACACUAGCUGUGGUAUCCCUGUUCCAGGUAGGAAAGUGGAGGUUAGUGGUAAUCCUUCCUUCUUUAGUGGAGGCUAAAGUUACCU
Molecule: long non-coding RNA, 3125 nt
Organism: Mus musculus (house mouse)
Lineage: Eukaryota; Metazoa; Chordata; Mammalia; Rodentia; Muridae
Product: predicted gene, 34687
Exons: 8
Source: RefSeq, a predicted model, not a curated record